Molecule: ribosomal RNA, 421 nt
Filed under: uncultured bacterium
Lineage: Bacteria
Description: partial 16S ribosomal RNA
Rfam family: Bacterial small subunit ribosomal RNA
Source: RNAcentral
AAUAUUCGACAAUGGGGUCAACCCUGAUCCAGCCAUGCCGCGUGUGUGAAGAAGUUCUUCGGAUUGUAAAGCACUUUAAGUUGGGAGGAAGGGCUUUAGGUUAAUACCCUGAAGUUUUGACGUUACCAACAGAAUAAGCCCCGCCUAACUCUGUGCCAGCAGCCGCCGUAAUACAGAGGGUGCCAGCGUUAAUCGGAAUUACUGGGCGUAAGGCGGGAGUAGGUGGUUCAGUAAGAUGGGAGUGAAAUCCCCGGGCUUAACCUGGGAACUGCUUUCAUAACUGCUGAGCUAGAGUACGGUAGAAGGUAGUGGAAUUUCCUGUGUAGCGGUGAAAUGCGUAGAUAUAGGAAGGAACACCAGUGGCGAAGGCGACUACCUGGACUGAUACUGACACUGAGGUGCGAAAGCGUGGGGAGCAAAA